GUGACUGCGGAGGAUCAUUAUUGAAUAAACCUGAUGGGUUGUUGCUGGUUCUCUAGGGAGCAUGUGCACGCCUUGUCAUCUUUAUAUCUCCACCUGUGCACUUUUUGAAAACCUUUCCNGGUCUAUGUUGCUUCNUUAUACCC
RNAcentral lists this unclassified non-coding RNA (143 nucleotides) under uncultured fungus. RNAcentral's name for it is "sequence contains ITS1". Lineage: Eukaryota; Fungi. The record is from RNAcentral.